Long non-coding RNA from Oncorhynchus tshawytscha (Chinook salmon), 1465 nucleotides. Lineage: Eukaryota; Metazoa; Chordata; Actinopteri; Salmoniformes; Salmonidae. The record is from Ensembl.
CACAACGCUGUCUGUCCUAAGGGCUUGUGAAGCUUUCAAACCUAUGAUCUAUUAGUAACAUAAAGCCUUUUAUAAUCAUGAUGUUGACAGCGUUUAGGGGCCUCGAUCUCUCUACUUCUGAGUCUUUUCAAUAGUGUGAUUGAAAACAAAAAUGUACAUUAUUAUUCUAUUUAAAAAAAGAAAAAAGAAAAGAAAAAAGACAAGUGUUCUGUAUGGACCUGUAUUUACCCAUCAGUUUCUGAUGUUCAAACACUGUGAUUAUUAUAAAUGUUGUUGGACAACAUGAGUUUAAGAAGAAAAAAGCUAGAAAAAUACAAAGUAAAAGACAGUUGGAGGAAACAUUAUGGUGGAUUGGUAAUACUUAGGCUGAACAAAAAUACAAAGUAAAAGACAGUUGGAGGAAACAUUAUGGUGGAUUGGUAAUACUUAGGCUGAACAAAAAUACAAAGUAAAAGACAGCUAUUUUCCUUAUCCAGUACUUAUCGAGGUCACUUUAACCUUUCUUCUCUUUGUACUUUCUUUAUAUUAGAUAAAUGUGAAUGUUAAAUGGACUCAAUUAACGUACUUGAAUAGUAACUUGGGGUUGAGUGCCAAAUAACACCCUAUCCCCUACAUGGUGUUCAACCUUUCACCAGGAGCCGAUAAGACCUCGAUCAGGGCCCAUGGGGCUCUGGUCAAAAGUAGUGCACUAUAUAGGGGAUAUGGUGCAAUGUAGGACUCACCCUUGGUCUUUUCCGUCUCCUUUCGCCCCCCCCAGUACUCCAGUGAGAGCUCUGCUAGAGUUUCUAGUGCCUUCCAUUAUUUAUUUUGCUUUUUUUUUAACCGUUUUUGACAUGAUGGAGUAACGGAAAUGCUGUUGAUUUCUGCUACAUUGAAGUGCUUUACUGGCUCUGUGGGUACAAAAGGCAAAGGUACACUGGGAAGGGGGGACGGGGGAAGGUGGGCUGUGGGGGUUUUGUUUCUUUGUGCCAUUUAUUGUUUUAGUAUUGGGGUUAAAUACAUUUUGAUUUGGGGGGCGGAAGACAAACUUAGUCCUAGACUCUGCAGAGAGUAGGAAUGGAUCUGAUGGUGAAGCUUGGACAAACUCUGUAUUUGGAACAGAGAAAGGAACGCAGACAACAGAACAACAGAGUGAGGCUGAACCAGGGUUACCUAACAUUUAAAAUAAAAGGUCUGUUAGGAACGGAAUGUUCCGUUUGUUCUAGUGUUCGGGGGACACGUUUCAGAUACUAGAACCAUUCAUUCAGUAUGCAAGAGCUCUCUAGCUAACACUGAGCCCAUCAUUAGACCCACUACAACAAUCAGACUAUCUUUACUGAUGGCCUGUCCACGAAGCCUUGUGUGUGUCCGACACCAGGCAGCACGGUAUACAAGCCUCGUGUUGGCGGUGAAAGAGAGGGGAGGAAGUGGGAGACUGAUAGGAAUAGAGAAGAGAAAGUCAGUCAGUGACAAACGGUAUUUGUGU